RNAcentral lists this transfer RNA (85 nucleotides) under Planctomycetota bacterium. RNAcentral's name for it is "Planctomycetes bacterium (freshwater metagenome) tRNA-Leu". It matches the Rfam family "tRNA". From Rfam's summary of the family: Transfer RNA (tRNA) molecules are approximately 80 nucleotides in length. Their secondary structure includes four short double-helical elements and three loops (D, anti-codon, and T loops). Lineage: Bacteria; Pseudomonadati; Planctomycetota. The record is from RNAcentral.
GCGGGAGUGGUGGAAUUGGCAGACACGUACGUUUGAGGUGCGUAUGGGUUACACCGUGGGGGUUCGAAUCCCCCCUCCCGCACCA